CAGUCGCCACGGUAAUACGGAGGGUGCAAGCGUUAAUCGGAAUUACUGGGCGUAAAGCGUGCGUAGGCGGUUCGUUAAGUCUGUUGUGAAAGCCCCGGGCUCAACCUGGGAAUGGCAAUGGAUACUGGCGAGCUAGAGUGUGUCAGAGGAUGGUGGAAUUCCCGGUGUAGCGGUGAAAUGCGUAGAGAUCGGGAGGAACAUCAGUGGCGAAGGCGGCCAUCUGGGACAACACUGACGCUGUGGCACGAAAGCGUGGGGAGCAAACAGGAUUAGAUACCCGGGUAGUCCCUGUCUCUUAUAC
This 301-nucleotide ribosomal RNA is filed under the name uncultured bacterium. RNAcentral's name for it is "partial 16S ribosomal RNA". It matches the Rfam family "Bacterial small subunit ribosomal RNA", at positions 509 to 807 of the family's 1533-position model. The record is from RNAcentral.